AGCGAACGCUGGCGGCAGGCCUAACACAUGCAAGUCGAACGAACCUUUCGGGGUCAGUGGCGGACGGGGGAGGAACACGUGGGAACGUGCCCUUAGGUUCGGAAUAACUCAGGGAAACUUGUGCUAAUACCGAAUGUGCCCUUCGGGGGGAAGAUUAAUCGCCUUUAGAGCGGCCCGCGUCUGAUUAGCUAGUUGGUUGAGGUAAUGGCUCACCAAGGCGACGUUAAGUAGCUGGUCUGAGAGGAGGAUCAGCGACAUUGGGAGUGAGACACGGCCCAAAAUCCUACGGGAGGCAGCAGUGGGGGAUCUUGCGCAAUGGGCGAAAGCCUGACGCAGCCAUGCCGGGUGAAUGAUGAAGGUCUUAGGAUUGUAAAAUUCUUUCACCGGGGACGAUAAUGACGGUACCCGGAGAAGAAGCCCCGGCUAACUUCGUG
This 434-nucleotide ribosomal RNA is filed under the name uncultured bacterium. Its description in RNAcentral is "partial 16S ribosomal RNA". It matches the Rfam family "Bacterial small subunit ribosomal RNA", at positions 29 to 507 of the family's 1533-position model. The record is from RNAcentral.